Molecule: ribosomal RNA, 253 nt
Filed under: uncultured bacterium
Lineage: Bacteria
Description: partial 16S ribosomal RNA
Rfam family: Bacterial small subunit ribosomal RNA
Source: RNAcentral
UACGUAGGGUGCGAGCGUUAAUCGGAAUUACUGGGCGUAAAGCGUGCGCAGGCGGUUUUUUAAGACAGGUGUGAAAUCCCCGGGCUUAACCUGGGAACUGCGGUUGUGACUGCAAGGCUAGAGUACGGCAGAGGGGGGUGGAAUUCCACGUGUAGCAGUGAAAUGCGUAGAGAUGUGGAGGAACACCGAUGGCGAAGGCAGCCCCCUGGGUCGAUACUGACGCUCAUGCACGAAAGCGUGGGUAGCAAACAGG